RNAcentral lists this ribosomal RNA (198 nucleotides) under uncultured bacterium. RNAcentral's name for it is "partial 16S ribosomal RNA". It matches the Rfam family "Bacterial small subunit ribosomal RNA", at positions 1302 to 1500 of the family's 1533-position model. The record is from RNAcentral.
GGUCUGCAACUCGACCACACAGGCUGGAAUCGCUAGUAAUCGCAGAUCAGCAUGCUGCGGUGAAUACGUUCCCGGGUCUUGUACACACCGCCCGUCACACCAUGGGAGCCGGGAAUGCCCGAAGUCAGCGGCCCAACCGAAAGGGGGGAGCUGCCGAAGGCAGGCCUGGUGACUGGGGUGAAGUCGUAACAAGGUAUC